This 101-nucleotide small RNA is filed under the name Arabidopsis thaliana (thale cress). RNAcentral describes it as "ATSL185180". The stretch from base 1 to 48 matches the Rfam family "Small nucleolar RNA Z102/R77", at positions 39 to 88 of the family's 88-position model. Lineage: Eukaryota; Viridiplantae; Streptophyta; Magnoliopsida; Brassicales; Brassicaceae. The record is from RNAcentral.
GAUCGCCGUUAUGAUGGCAUCUUACGUAUUAGCUCUAUCUGAUCUCUCUUCUUCUUCAAUUUUUCCAAUUACAUGAAAAAGUCUUGAGCUUUUUAAUUUAU